CGAGGGCAGAGCGUUUGGCGUCACGUGAGAGCGAGUUCGUUUCAGGUGGAAGCAAAACUACCUUUGCUCUGACCGACCUUGUGCGGCAAACACGAGUCAGGUUCGCUAUCCGAACGGGGAGCGAUGCGAAAGAUGAGAUCUUGCACUUCCGCGGCCAGCGCGAGAUUCUGGGUGGUGGCGCUGGCCUUGAUGGCAGCAGCGUCGUCGUCUCUUGCCACCGCGGAUGGCGACGGGACGGAGAGGAUGAGGACUAGAAGCGGAAGCAAGGGAAAGGAGCAAAUCCCUGCUAGGGUUCAAGGAGACGAAGGGGAACGCUUCCUAUCGGUGCUCUCCUUCCGGCCCUUGCCUUGCCUGCCAAUACUCCCUGAAGUGAAACUGGGUAUCGCGUGCCUUACAAAUGCACAGAAAUAACAAACAUGGGAAAGAAAGACUACAAAAAUAAAGACAAUAAAAGACUCUCCUCUAUUCAAGAGAAUUCCACCAUUGUUGUAAAGGAGAAGUUGUUUGAUGUCCACAAUUACAAGUGGAGAAAGCUUUUGGAUGAUUCCUCAAAUCUGAACACAGGGAAUGUCAGCUACAUUACGUAUUGGAGCUUUGUGCCUGUUGCGGUCAAAGAGAAGUUGUCUUUUCUUGGAUUCAAGGUGAUCAUGGUGGGGUUAGUACUUAUAAGUGGACCAAUAGUGUACUUUCGGCAAAAAUGCCUAGUAGCAAUUCCAGGAGCGGAUUCAUGAGGGUUCCCAUAAAUGCCCUUAGGUUUUGAUGAGUACUAAAUGGAAGGCAAAAUACUAUGUCUGGUGCAUGUAGGCACACUUGUUUACUAGCUUAUUGCCAAAUGCAUCUGGACAACUUUCCUAUAAUGACUGUCGAUAGGGUAUUAUAAAAUUGGCAUUUCUUUAGCUUCACAGAUCAAGAAUCUGAUGCUUAACUACAUGUUUGCAUCAUUUUUCUUAUUCAAUUAUUAUACAAAUAUCUCGUCUCUGGGUUCCCUUUUGUUAGAAAACUUUGCAAGUCUGUGUCCGAUGAAUUCUACAUUGAACAGAAGAGUCGAAUCCAGAGGAAUAAUGCAAGAACCAGGGAAUUCUCAACACAAUUCCGUGGGGCAAAACUAGGGAUGCAACUCUUGUUCAGCACACGACACUUCAGCAUGCGUGGUUGUCAACUGAACCGUGAUCGAUGCUUUACUUGACGAAUGUGCACUGAGCAAUGAACUCAAAAAUCAGGGAACUAUCAAUGAAUUCAACACCCAUUUUCCAAUAAGCUAUAUUGUGUUGCAACUUGGCCAUUUUACAAACCUCUGGCAACUGCAAGAGGAGAAGAACAAAAUCACCACUCUCUUUCACUGGCCUUUGCCUUCUGGUAAGGCAAAGACCCAGCCUCUCCCUCAAUUCUUCCCCUCAGAUCCACAAGCAAGCACCUGACUGUUUCAAUCUCGGCUUCAAGCGCAGUUUGGCCCUGAAGCCUCCUCAUAAGCUGUUGGUUGGUCUUUUCUUAGCUUUGUUUGGUGUAGUUAUAACUACAGAUUGGUAUGACGUGCAUCAAAGUGCCAUUUCUUUUUCAACUUCAUGGAAGGAUCAUUUCUCCAACUACACCCAUUUUAUUCCAUUCAUUCAUCUCCUUCUACCACCCGUUUCUUUAACUCGAUUCUUUAUGAUAAUAACAAUAAUAAUUUAGGAAUACAUAAUUCUUAUGGGGCAUGUGCAGGUGUUGUUGGGAGUUAGUACGAGAUCUAGUAGUGGUUGUUGAACUUUCUAUUGAAAAAAUGGCAAUGAGGAAGCUAUUUCUUAAA
Long non-coding RNA from Zingiber officinale, 1786 nucleotides. RefSeq lists it as uncharacterized. The transcript has 5 exons. The record is from RefSeq and is a predicted model, not a curated record. Lineage: Eukaryota; Viridiplantae; Streptophyta; Magnoliopsida; Zingiberales; Zingiberaceae.